This 434-nucleotide long non-coding RNA is filed under the name Physcomitrium patens. Its description in RNAcentral is "long non-coding RNA (PPAT_LNC012376)". Lineage: Eukaryota; Viridiplantae; Streptophyta; Bryopsida; Funariales; Funariaceae. The record is from RNAcentral.
AGUGGGAUUUGAUAACAAACUAGAUAUGGUUUCUAUGAGCAUUAGUUUUGGAGGAUUUAGAUUCAUUAUGAUUUUGUAAGGGCUUUAUAAAGUCAAGUUUUUUUUAUAUAACUUGGAUUUUUGUGACUAAAAUAGGGUUAAUAUUUCGGACAAUUUUUAGAGUUUUGUAACAAAUCUACAAGUGAAAUUUUGUGAAUUAAUGGUUACAGUUGUAUUUAAUAUUUAUUAUGAAUUUUAGCUUGACUAAUGGUUGAAGUGAGGAUUAUUGAGGUUUAAGUCGAUUAAGAUCUCAAAAAAAGAAAUUUAGGUCUAAUGAGAGUUUUUAAGAUUUCUUGCAAUUUACUAGUUAGAUAGGAGUAAAAUUUAUUAGUAAAGAUAGUAGAUUUGUUUUCCUAUGUAUAUGAAAAUUUCGAAAUAAAUCAAAUUGUGAAAAA